Molecule: ribosomal RNA, 810 nt
Filed under: Chaetothyriales sp. AL4
Lineage: Eukaryota; Fungi; Ascomycota; Eurotiomycetes; Chaetothyriales
Description: eukaryotic LSU rRNA
Rfam family: Eukaryotic large subunit ribosomal RNA
Source: RNAcentral
UUGACCUCGGAUCAGGUAGGAAUACCCGCUGAACUUAAGCAUAUCAAUAAGCGGAGGAAAAGAAACCAACAGGGAUUGCCUCAGUAACGGCGAGUGAAGCGGCAACAGCUCAAAUUUGAAAUCUGGCCUCACGGUCCGAGUUGUAAUUUGUAGAGGAUGUUUUGGGCACCGCCCCGGGUUAAAUUUCUUGGAACAGAAUGUCAAAGAGGGUGAGAGUCCCGUCUUGGCCCGCGGUAGGACCUGUGUAAAACUCCUUCGACGAGUCGACUUGUUUGGGAAUGCAGGUCAAAAUGGGUGGUAAAUUUCAUCUAAAGCUAAAUAUUGGCCAGAGACCGAUAGCGCACAAGUAGAGUGAUCGAAAGAUGAAAAGCACUUUGAAAAGAGAGUUAAACAGUAUGUGAAAUUGUUGAAAGGGAAGCGCUGGCAACCAGACUCGAGCGCGGUGUUCCCCCUUGCUUCUGCCUGGGUUAUUUCACCGUGACCGGGCCAUCAUCAGUUUUGGGGGUUGGUUAAAGAUUCGGGGAAUGUAUCCUCUCCUUCGGGGGAGGACUUAUAGCCCCGGAUGUCAUGCAGCCUCCCGGGACUGAGGAACGCGCUUCGGCGAGGAUGAUGGCGUAAUGGUUGUCAACGACCCGUCUUGAAACACGGACCAAGGAGUCUAACAUCUAUGCGAGUGUUCGGGUGUCAAACCCUUGCGCGGAAUGAAAGUGAACGGAGGUAGGAAGGCUUGAACCUGCACUAUCGACCGAUCCUGAUGUCUUCGGAUGGAUUUGAGUAAGAGCAUAGCUGUUGGGACCCGAAAGAUGGUGA